AUUGAACGCUGGCGGCAGGCUUAACACAUGCAAGUCGAGCGGGCGAGGUUGCUUCGGUAACUGAGCUAGCGGCGGACGGGUGAGUAAUGCUUAGGAAUCUGCCUAUUAGUGGGGGACAACAUUCCGAAAGGGAUGCUAAUACCGCAUACGUCCUACGGGAGAAAGCAGGGGACCUUCGGGCCUUGCGCUAAUAGAUGAGCCUAAGUCGGAUUAGCUAGUUGGUGGGGUAAAGGCCUACCGAGGCGACGAUCUGUAGCGGGUCUGAGAGGAUGAUCCGCCACACUGGGACUGAGACACGGCCCAGACUCCUACGGGAGGCAGCAGUGGGGAAUAUUGGACAAUGGGGGGAACCCUGAUCCAGCCAUGCCGCGUGUGUGAAGAAGGCCUUUUGGUUGUAAAGCACUUUAAGUGGGGAGGAGGCUUACCUGGUUAAUACCUGGGCUAAGUGGACGUUACCCACAGAAUAAGCACCGGCUAACUCUGUGCCAGCCGCCGCAGUAA
This 501-nucleotide ribosomal RNA is filed under the name uncultured bacterium. RNAcentral describes it as "partial 16S ribosomal RNA". It matches the Rfam family "Bacterial small subunit ribosomal RNA", at positions 30 to 523 of the family's 1533-position model. The record is from RNAcentral.